AGCCAGCACAAAAACACACAUUGCAUCCAACAAACUUUUCUUGACCGACCUGAUUAACCAAACUCAGGUGUGGAGGUUUCAACUCAACAAAGCAAAAUACAUAAACAAUAUCGCAGAAUUUCAUCUACUUUCUUCACAAAUCAAGGGUCAUAUCAGAUGUCAGGAAGAAACCGUUAUCCUCGUGACGCAUAUGACAACCGGCAUGGGUAUAUCUCAGGAGGGCCUCCAUCGCGGGCCCCUAUGCCUCGACCUAUGCCACCUCAUCCUGCCAUGCUGGAGGAAGAACUUGAAAUCCAACAUCAUGAAAUACUUAGGCUUUUGGGUGAAAACAGGAGGUUAGUUGAAGACAGAAUUGCUCUACAACGAGAUUUGGGUGCUGCCAAAGAGGAACUUAGGCGAAUGAAUAAUGCAAUUGCUGAUAUUCAAGAACAAAAUGAAAUACAUUCGAGAAAGCUGAUUGACAAUGCUUUGAAACUAGAAGCUGAUCUUCGUGCCACUGAACCUUUGAAAAAUGAGGCUGCACAACUUCAUACUGAAGUUGAGAGGCUAAAUUCUAUAAGGCGUGAUUUAUCUGGGCAGGUUCAGAUUCUCAAAAAAGACCUUGCAAAACUGCAAACUGAUACUAAGCAACUUCCAGCUUUAAAAGCCGAGCAUGAGAGAAUUCUCCAGGAGCUUUUGCAUACUAGAGCUGCUAUUGAUUAUGAGAAGAAAGGAAAUAUAGAGCUGAUGGAACAAAGACAAGCAAUGGAGAAGAACUUGGUUUCUAUGGCGCGUGAAGUUGAAAAGCUCCGUGUGGAACUUACAAAUACUGAUGCUGGACCACACAGUGCUGGUGGGUCAUAUGGGAUGAAAUAUGGAAGCUCAGAUGACCGUUUUCCUCCUCCUUAUGGCGACGGAUACAACGUUCACCUGAUGAACAUUGUUCUAGACGUGAAAUGCAUUUCUUUAUGGUUUGGCAAGGCAAGUAUGAUUUAUAUCUGAAGUACGAAAAUAGGCUUACAGCAAUCUUCAUGGUUGUCUCAGUUUUCACGAGAAGCUAUCCUGAAAAGGAAAGUGGCCGCCACUGUCUACACUGUUCUCAGCAAUCCCCUAUUGUGUUACAUUAGCAGGGUAGCUGACAAGAUCGAGGCCCUCCCUGUCAACGACCUUAUCAGCUGAAUAAAUCUGCCACAUAAGCAUCCCGAGUUGACACACCAUCACCACACAUCCCAAACUUCUCGGUUCUUCCAUUAUGUUCAUACCACAAUGGCAUAUGGUUUGACUUUUAUAACAAGUGAUGAGAAUUAAUAUUGACUUUCCCGAGGUUAGAACAAUUUGUCUUGAGGGUGAUUAGUAUUGUUGUAUUUGUUGCGUGAGCACAAGGAUCAUGUAAGGUUUUCCAGUUGGAUUUGUGCACUGGAAAAGGUAAACUUUAAUCAGUACUUUCAUUUACCCUUGUUAUUUUGAGGACUAAUACCGUAGAGGUGGCAAAACGGGUGGGUUGGAUAAUGGGCCACUAACGGUUGGAUUUGGUUGAACCAAUACACUUUACCCAUAACUUUUAAUCCAUUUAUAAACAUUUAGUGUGCCAAAUAGGAUCAAUUUAUGUUAUUUCAGUGAUGUUUGGGGUGGUUUUAUAAACUAAGCAUACACUUUGAGCUGUUUUUAACCACUCAUAUUCUGAUAUCUACUUAAAAUUUUUAACAUUAUUUAUGUAUAAUUUGGUUCAAAAGCUAUAUCGAACAUCAUAUCCAACAAUGUAAAUAACGUUCUCUGAAGUUUGGAGGAAAACAUAAUAUAUGAUUGGUGUGAUUAUAACAUCAGACCAUUCAAACUAAA
Molecule: RNA transcript, 1818 nt
Organism: Helianthus annuus (common sunflower)
Lineage: Eukaryota; Viridiplantae; Streptophyta; Magnoliopsida; Asterales; Asteraceae
Gene name: protein FLX-like 3
Exons: 9
Source: RefSeq, a predicted model, not a curated record